Molecule: ribosomal RNA, 332 nt
Filed under: uncultured bacterium
Lineage: Bacteria
Description: bacterial SSU rRNA
Rfam family: Bacterial small subunit ribosomal RNA
Source: RNAcentral
CGUGUAGGCGGCUUUUUAAGUUGGCAGUGAAAGGUUCCGGCUCAACUGGGAUUCGCCUGUCAAUACUGAAGAGCUUGAGGGCACCAGAGGAAAGUGGAACUCGCGGUGUAGCGGUGAAAUGUGUAGAUAUCGCGAGGAACACCAGUGGCGAAGGCGGCUUUCUGGGGUGUUCCUGACGCUGAGGCGCGAAAGCGUGGGGAGCGAAGCGGAUUAGAUACCCGCGUAGUCCACGCCCUAAACGGUGGAUACUUGGUAUGGGGGGUAUCGACCCCCUCCGUGCCGAAGCUAACGCUUUAAGUAUCCCGCCUGGGAACUACGGUCGCAAGACUAAA